GACGAACGCUGGCGGCGUGCUUAACACAUGCAAGUCGAACGGACAGGCCCUGCUCUUGCGGGGUGCUCGAGUGGCGAACGGGUGAGUAACACGCGAGUAUCCUGCCCUUGUCAUUGGGAUAACUUCAGGAAACUGGGGCUAAUACCGGAUAGAAGAUCCUGCUGCAUGGUGGGGGUUGGUAAGUUUCGGCGGUUGUGGAUGUACUCGCGGCUUAUCGGCUUGUUGGUGGGGUAGUGGCUUACCAAGGCUGCGACGGGUAGCCGGCCUUGGAGGGUGGCCGGCGACAAUGGGACUGAGAGACGGCGCAGACGCCUACGGGAGGCAGCAGGGGGGAAUAUUGCGGAGUGGGCGGAAGCCUGAGGCAGCAACGUCGCGUUCGGGAAGACGGCCUUCGAGGUAUAAACCGAUGUCGCCUGUGACGAAGCGGGAGUGACGGUAAUGGGUAAAGAAGCACCGGCUAACUACGUG
Molecule: ribosomal RNA, 468 nt
Filed under: uncultured bacterium
Lineage: Bacteria
Description: partial 16S ribosomal RNA
Rfam family: Bacterial small subunit ribosomal RNA
Source: RNAcentral